Molecule: long non-coding RNA, 828 nt
Filed under: Coturnix japonica (Japanese quail)
Lineage: Eukaryota; Metazoa; Chordata; Aves; Galliformes; Phasianidae
Description: lncRNA (ENSCJPG00005017928.1)
Source: RNAcentral
GUUUCAGUGCCAUGUUUAUGCUGCCCAACACAAGAGCCCAACUUAGAAAUCUCUUCUACAAUGGCAUCUAAGGGCAAUAAGCAAGGACUAAUUCAGACUCCUACGUUUCAUGAGCAGCAGUCACAACACAUCAAGUAGGCAUGACUGACUUCUCUACAUGUCUAACUUGGGUACCAAGAUGACUUUUUCCCACUGACUACACAGGAAACUAAGAUCUAGCAAUGUGUCAUAACAGGUGGUCAGAAUUGCUCACCAGACUUUUGACUUGACAUGUUGUCAUUGCUCCUAUGCUGCUUCAUACCAGGCAACUGGAACACAAUUCCUCACUCAGCCCAAUCUUUGUUCUGUGGAAUAAAUACAUACAUUCUUGUACAGUGCUUUUCAAUGGUACAUCAGGAAGUGACUUUGUAGUAAGCUCUCUUUCAGAGGACAGAUUAUGACUAUCUUCUGCAAUGUAUGUGGGUGAGCCAGUGAUCUGGAGAAUAGUUUCAUGCAAGUGCCUAAACAUUUUGAUACCUUCUCUUCUUGAAAGAACAGAAUUAACUGCCAGUAAAAUCAGCUCAAGUGGAAGACCACAAUCUUGGGAAAUAAAGCUCAUCAAGGUCGAGGUCCAGCCAGGGCCCCAUGGGAAGGAACAUAUGGAAAGCAGCAGCAGCAAGUUCUGCUCCACGUGCAGCUUUGCAGGGCUGAGUAUCUCUUGAUGCCCUGUUUGGGAUUGCUCUGCAUGGCCAAGCACUGUAAAAAAGAGCUGAAAAUAGCCAGAGCGGAAGCACGCAGGGCUUUAAAAACAAAAGCAAAUACUUACAAAGCACCUAACCCUAAAAGACC